GGAUGUAGGACUAUAGGUUGGUGAAGUUGGGCUAUAACUUGGUGAAGUUGGACUAUAACCAGGAGAAGUGGGGCUAUAGGCUGGUGAAGUGGGGCUGUACGAUGGAGAAGUAGGGCUGUAUGACGGUGAGGUAGGGCUGUACGAAGGUGAUGUUGGGCUGUAGGAAGGAGAGGUUGGGCUGUACGAUGGUGAGGUGGGGCUGUAUGCAGGUGAGGUGGGGCUAUAUGCAGGUGAGGUGGGGCUAUAUGCCGGUGAGGUGGGGCUAUAGCUUGGUGAAGUUGGACUGUAACUGGGAGAAGUGGGGCUGUAACUUGGAGAGGUCGGGCUGUAGCUUGGGGAUGUUGGGCUGUAACUUGGGGAGGUUGGGCUAUAGCUUGGUGAAGUAGGUGAGUACGAUGGACUGGUAGGAGAAUAGGCAGGACUGGUUGGACUAUAACCAGGAGAACUUGGACUAUAAGUUGGUGAGGUAGGGCUAUAUCCAGGCGAGGUGGGACUGUAUCCAGGCGAAGUUGGGCUGUAUCCAGGUGACGUGGGACUGUAUCCAGGAGAUGACGGACUGUAGCCUGGUGAUGAUGGGCUGUAUCCGGGUGAUGAAGUAGGAGAGAAGGCCAUUCCACCAACAUAAGGAGAAAACUGGGCAUCCGUGACCGGGGACAGACGGAGAUU
RNAcentral lists this long non-coding RNA (666 nucleotides) under Citrus maxima (pomelo). RNAcentral's name for it is "long non-coding RNA (CMAX_LNC000008)". The record is from RNAcentral. Lineage: Eukaryota; Viridiplantae; Streptophyta; Magnoliopsida; Sapindales; Rutaceae.